AAGUCGUAACAAGGUUUCCGUAGGUGAACCUGCGGAAGGAUCAUUAACACGUUCCACGUAUCCACCCGAGAACUCGUUUUUCAUCAAGGAUUAAGCUUCAGUUAGCCUGUAAACUCUGUGCAUUCCGCAAAAUAUUUCGAUAAGGAAACAGGCUGCAUAAGCCUGGCGGCUGUCAGUAGAAAUGUCUUCGAUUCAAUUCGAAGGAGGCGCUGAAGAUCUGGUCCUGUUUCUGUUCCUUAUCGAAUUUUUACAAUUAUUUACCCCUUUCGAAACGUACUAAUUUAUAUUUCUUUCUAAGAAAUUGGCCGGCAUUUUCGGAUGCUUGUCUAACUCUAAGAAAAACCUUAAGAACAACUCUUAACAACGGAUAUCUUGGCUCUC
Molecule: unclassified non-coding RNA, 381 nt
Filed under: fungal sp.
Lineage: Eukaryota; Fungi
Also listed under: 1 other name
Description: partial internal transcribed spacer region
Rfam family: Eukaryotic small subunit ribosomal RNA (bases 1-46)
Source: RNAcentral